GACGAACGCUGGCGGCGUGCCUAACACAUGCAAGUCGAACGGAAGUAAGUGCUUCGGUAUUUACUUUAGUGGCGAACGGGUGAGUAACGCGUGAGGAACCUGCCUUUCAGAGGGGGACAACAGUUGGAAACGACUGCUAAUACCGCAUGACACAUUGAGGGGGCAUCCCUUUGAUGUCAAAGAUUUAUCGCUGAAAGAUGGCCUCGCGUCCCAUUAGCUAGUUGGUGAGGUAACGGCCCACCAAGGCGACGAUGGGUAGCCGGACUGAGAGGUUGACCGGCCACAUUGGGACUGAGAUACGGCCCAG
This 307-nucleotide ribosomal RNA is filed under the name uncultured bacterium. RNAcentral's name for it is "bacterial SSU rRNA". It matches the Rfam family "Bacterial small subunit ribosomal RNA", at positions 28 to 334 of the family's 1533-position model. The record is from RNAcentral.